RNAcentral lists this ribosomal RNA (1001 nucleotides) under Curtobacterium sp. RNAcentral describes it as "bacterial SSU rRNA". It matches the Rfam family "Bacterial small subunit ribosomal RNA", at positions 56 to 1069 of the family's 1533-position model. The record is from RNAcentral. Lineage: Bacteria; Bacillati; Actinomycetota; Actinomycetes; Micrococcales; Microbacteriaceae.
UGCAGUCGAACGAUGAUGCCCAGCUUGCUGGGUUGAUUAGUGGCGAACGGGUGAGUAACACGUGAGUAACCUGCCCCUGACUCUGGGAUAAGCGUUGGAAACGACGUCUAAUACUGGAUAUGAUCGCCGGCCGCAUGGUCUGGUGGUGGAAAGAUUUUUUGGUUGGGGAUGGACUCGCGGCCUAUCAGCUUGUUGGUGAGGUAAUGGCUCACCAAGGCGACGACGGGUAGCCGGCCUGAGAGGGUGACCGGCCACACUGGGACUGAGACACGGCCCAGACUCCUACGGGAGGCAGCAGUGGGGAAUAUUGCACAAUGGGCGAAAGCCUGAUGCAGCAACGCCGCGUGAGGGAUGACGGCCUUCGGGUUGUAAACCUCUUUUAGUAGGGAAGAAGCGAAAGUGACGGUACCUGCAGAAAAAGCACCGGCUAACUACGUGCCAGCAGCCGCGGUAAUACGUAGGGUGCAAGCGUUGUCCGGAAUUAUUGGGCGUAAAGAGCUCGUAGGCGGUUUGUCGCGUCUGCUGUGAAAUCCCGAGGCUCAACCUCGGGCUUGCAGUGGGUACGGGCAGACUAGAGUGCGGUAGGGGAGAUUGGAAUUCCUGGUGUAGCGGUGGAAUGCGCAGAUAUCAGGAGGAACACCGAUGGCGAAGGCAGAUCUCUGGGCCGUAACUGACGCUGAGGAGCGAAAGCAUGGGGAGCGAACAGGAUUAGAUACCCUGGUAGUCCAUGCCGUAAACGUUGGGCGCUAGAUGUAGGGACCUUUCCACGGUUUCUGUGUCGUAGCUAACGCAUUAAGCGCCCCGCCUGGGGAGUACGGCCGCAAGGCUAAAACUCAAAGGAAUUGACGGGGGCCCGCACAAGCGGCGGAGCAUGCGGAUUAAUUCGAUGCAACGCGAAGAACCUUACCAAGGCUUGACAUACACCGGAAACGGCCAGAGAUGGUCGCCCCCCUUGUGGUCGGUGUACAGGUGGUGCAUGGUUGUCGUCAGCUCGUGUCGUG